GAUGAACGCUGGCGGCGUGCCUAAUACAUGCAAGUCGAGCGAACGGACGAGAAGCUUGCUUCUCUGAUGUUAGCGGCGGACGGGUGAGUAACACGUGGAUAACCUACCUAUAAGACUGGGAUAACUUCGGGAAACCGGAGCUAAUACCGGAUAAUAUUUUGAACCGCAUGGUUCAAAAGUGAAAGACGGUCUUGCUGUCACUUAUAGAUGGAUCCGCGCUGCAUUAGCUAGUUGGUAAGGUAACGGCUUACCAAGGCAACGAUGCAUAGCCGACCUGAGAGGGUGAUCGGCCACACUGGAACUGAGACACGGUCCAGACUCCUACGGGAGGCAGCAGUAGGGAAUCUUCCGCAAUGGGCGAAAGCCUGACGGAGCAACGCCGCGUGAGUGAUGAAGGUCUUCGGACCGUAAAACUCUGUUAUUAGGGAAGAACAUAUGUGUAAGUAACUGUGCACAUCUUGACGGCACCUAAUCAGAAAGCCACGGCUAACUACGUG
This 497-nucleotide ribosomal RNA is filed under the name uncultured bacterium. RNAcentral describes it as "partial 16S ribosomal RNA". It matches the Rfam family "Bacterial small subunit ribosomal RNA", at positions 28 to 507 of the family's 1533-position model. The record is from RNAcentral.